AGCUAGUUGGUGGGGUAAAAGCUCACCAAGGCGACGAUCUGUAGCGGGUCUGAGAGGAUGAUCCGCCACACUGGAACUGAGACACGGUCCAGACUCCUACGGGAGGCAGCAGUGGGGAAUUUUGGACAAUGGGGGCAACCCUGAUCCAGCCAUGCCGCGUGAGUGAAGAAGGCCUUCGGGUUGUAAAGCUCUUUCAGCCGGGAAGAAAACGCAUUGGUUAAUACCUGAUGUGGAUGACGGUACCGGAAUAAGAAGCACCGGCUAACUACGUGCCAGCAGCCGCGGUAAUACGUAGGGUGCGAGCGUUAAUCGGAAUUACUGGGCGUAAAGCGUGCGCAGGCGGUUUUGUAAGAUAGGCGUGAAAUCCCCGGGCUUAACCUGGGAACUGCGUUUAUGACUGCAAAGCUAGAGUACGGCAGAGGGGGGUGGAAUUCCACGUGUAGCAGUGAAAUGCGUAGAGAUGUGGAGGAACACCAAUGGCGAAGGCAGCCCCCUGGGUCGAUACUGACGCUCAUGCACGAAAGCGUGGGUAGCAAACAGGAUUAGAUACCCUGGUAGUCCACGCCCUAAACGAUGUCAACUAGGUGUUGGGAGGGUAAAACCUUUUAGUACCGGAGCUAACGCGUGAAGUUGACCGCCUGGGGAGUACGGCCGCAAGGUUAAAACUCAAAGGAAUUGACGGGGACCCGCACAAGCGGUGGAUGAUGUGGAUUAAUUCGAUGCAACGCGAAAAACCUUACCUACCCUUGACAUGUCAGGAACUUGCCAGAGAUGGCUUGGUGCUCGAAAGAGAACCUGAACACAGGUGCUGCAUGGCUGUCGUCAGCUCGUGUCGUGAGAUGUUGGGUUAAGUCCCGCAACGAGCGCAACCCUUGUCGUUAAUUGCCAUCAUUUAGUUGGGCACUUUAACGAGACUGCCGGUGACAAACCGGAGGAAGGUGGGGAUGACGUCAAGUCCUCAUGGCCCUUAUGGGUAGGGCUUCACACGUCAUACAAUGGUCGGUACAAAGGGUCGCCAACCCGCGAGGGGGAGCCAAUCCCAGAAAGCCGAUCGUAGUCCGGAUUGCAGGCUGCAACUCGCCUGCAUGAAGUCGGAAUCGCUAGUAAUCGUGGAUCAGCAUGUCACGGUGAAUACGUUCCCGGGUCUUGUACACACCGCCCGUCACACCAUGGGAGCGGGUUCCGCCAGAAGUAGGUAGCCUAACCGCAAGGAGGGCGCUUACCACGGCGGGGUUCGUGACUGGGGUGAAGUCGUAACAAGGUAGCCGUAGGGGAACCUGCGGCUG
RNAcentral lists this ribosomal RNA (1286 nucleotides) under metagenome. Its description in RNAcentral is "bacterial SSU rRNA". It matches the Rfam family "Bacterial small subunit ribosomal RNA", at positions 243 to 1520 of the family's 1533-position model. The record is from RNAcentral.